Molecule: long non-coding RNA, 934 nt
Filed under: Homo sapiens (human)
Lineage: Eukaryota; Metazoa; Chordata; Mammalia; Primates; Hominidae
Description: non-protein coding lnc-C17orf97-10:1
Source: RNAcentral
CCGAAACGUCAUUAUGUGAUGCAGGACAGUUCUUACGUUGCUUCCCCUGAAGGCACAGCAACAAGGCCAGAAGAAGCAAGCUGGGAGGCAGAGGUGGAUGUGUUGGGGCUGAGACCGGCUCCAGGCUAACCCAGGCAGAGUCUGAUUCAGCGAUCGCUGGCGACUCCUCAGGACUGUUGCCCCAGCUCAUCCAUCUUUCUGCCACACGGAAGCCACCCGGUCCCUGCGUGGGUGGGGGCUCUCUGCAGCCCCCCGCCGAGGGAAGGUUGCAUCUGUUGCUUGGCCUUUUCUGCAGGCUGCCAACUCAGCAAGGAGCACGUCUCUCCAUGGAGAGGGAAAAUGUCACCAACUUGGCUUCCACGUCGAGCGUGUCGAGCGUGUGGAGGUCACUGGCCUGAUCGGGUGGCCGAGCUCAGUGCCCCUGGGGUGGGGGAGCAAACUCACGGGGGACGGAAGCUAUGAUACAUUCCUGCGGGGGACGGAUUUGCUACCAUCCAAUGCUCAGUCCACAGCAGCGCCCGACCAGGACUGGGAUCCUCUCUCUGCUUUUGUACUCGGGAGCCCUAGAAAUGGGAGCAUCGUCGUGUCUCUCAGCCCUGGAGUCGUCUAGAGCCCUCGGUCCCCCUGAGCCUGCACCUCACGCCAUCCUGCGCUAUCACCAGAUCCUGUUCCUGAGACGUGACUCUCGGCUCCUUCAGAGGCCGCACGGCACGGCGCACAGGUUUGGGGAUGGCAGACCUGGGUGGGCUCCCGGGCAAGUCACCCAAAGCCUCUCUAAACCUCAGACGUUCUCAGCUGUAAAGUGGGAUAAUACUUACACCCUUGGGUUGUUUUGAGGAUCAACUGAGACACAGGAAAAGCAACCAGCACGUAAUAGCGACUCGAUAAAUGCCAGCUGCGGUUAGUGCAGCCCCUCGUACCGUGUUCUGCAGCC